RNAcentral lists this ribosomal RNA (780 nucleotides) under Triticum aestivum (bread wheat). Its description in RNAcentral is "partial small subunit ribosomal RNA". Lineage: Eukaryota; Viridiplantae; Streptophyta; Magnoliopsida; Poales; Poaceae. The record is from RNAcentral.
AUGACGGCUCUAAAUCUUCCGGUUGAAGUUGUGAAAAAGAUCGAUGCCCUCCGGCGUGCUUAUCUCUGGGCUGGUUGUGACAAGGUCACGGGUGGGAAAUGUAAGGUCAACUGGGAUCAAGUUUGCAAGUCAAAGUUGCAUGGGGGUCUUGGGAUCCUAAAUCUUCAGAAGUUUGCGGCUGCUCUUCGUCUCCGUUGGCUGUGGUUUGACUGGCAGGACCCGAUCAGGCCUUGGUCGGGCUUGGGCUUCCCUUGCGACAAGAAUGAUCAAAACAUCUUUGCGUCGGCCUCCAAGGUUCAGGUGGGUGACGGUCUUCGUGCCUCCUUCUGGGAGUCAGCUUGGCUAGAUGGCAUCAGACCCAAAGAUAUUGCUCCCAAAAUUUACGACAUCUCCAAAAAGAAGAACUCUUCCGUUCAUAAGGCUUUGCUCAAUGGCUUCUGGAUCUCCCAGGUGAAUGUUGCCUCGGGCAUCACCACUGAGCACAUUGUCCAGUUUGUUGCGCUUUGGGACAGACUCACCCACAUUCAGUUAAACCCAGACAUGCCAGACUCCAUCACUUGGAAACUAACUACUAAUGGCCACUAUUCCGCAGCCUCGGCAUACAGGGCUCAGUUUCUUGGCUUGGUGGACACGGAUAUGAAUCAAAAUGUGUGGAAGAACUGGGCGCCCCCAAAGUGUAAGUUUUUCGCUUGGCUUGUCAUCAGUAAUAGAAUUUGGACGGCUGACAGACUCCUCCGCCGUGGGUGGCCGAAUUGCAAUCUCUGCCCACUAUGCCAAUAA